Molecule: ribosomal RNA, 381 nt
Filed under: uncultured bacterium
Lineage: Bacteria
Also listed under: 1 other name
Description: bacterial SSU rRNA
Rfam family: Archaeal small subunit ribosomal RNA
Source: RNAcentral
AUACCGGCAGCCCGAGUGAUGGCCGCUAUUAUUGGGCCUAAAGCGUCCGUAGCCGGCCGGAUAAGUCCGUCGGGAAAUCUGCUCGCUCAACGAGCAGGCGUCCGGCGGAAACUGUUCGGCUUGGGGCCGGAAGACCUGAGGGGUACGUCUGGGGUAGGAGUGAAAUCCCGUAAUCCUGGACGGACCGCCGGUUGCGAAAGCGCCUCAGGAAGACGGACCCGACGGUGAGGGACGAAAGCUAGGGUCACGAACCGGAUUAGAUACCCGGGUAGUCCUAGCUGUAAACGAUGCUCGCUAGGUGUGGCGCUGGCUACGAGCCAGCGCUGUGCCGUAGGGAAGCCGAGAAGCGAGCCGCCUGGGAAGUACGUCCGCAAGGAUGAA